AUGGCCUGGCCUCUUGUCUGUGUGUCACUGCUCACCUUCUGCUCAGGAUCCCUCUCCCAGCUAAUACUGACUCAGCCUCCCUCUGCCUCUGCAUCCCUGGGGAGCACGGCCAGACUCACCUGCACCCUGAGCAGUGGGUACAGUAAUAGAGGUGCUUAUUGGUAUCAUCAGAGCCCAGGAAAGGCCCCUCGAUAUAUCCUGUAUGUCAGCAACAGUGGAGGUAUAAGCAAGGCUGAUGGGCUUCCUGAGCGCUUCUCUGGCUCCAGCUCUGGGGCUGAUCAAUUCCUGUCCAUCAGCAACGUCCAGGCUGAGGAUGAAGCCGAUUAUUACUGUGGGAAUGAUUAUAGCACUGGUGGUGGUUAUGCUCACACACAGUGA
Non-coding RNA from Gracilinanus agilis (Agile Gracile Mouse Opossum), 378 nucleotides. NCBI's taxonomy places the organism in Eukaryota, Metazoa, Chordata, Mammalia, Didelphimorphia, Didelphidae. The record is from the annotation of a RefSeq genome assembly.